CACAGAUCGGGUCGAGUGCCACGUGCUUUGUACGGACCUGCCGUAGGACCGUGAUGGCCGCGUGUCAAGACAUCGUGAUGCAUUCCAUACCUGCAGAGAGAUUUCAGCUUGCUCCCCUACCUACAUGACAGUGGAGUUGCUGAAAUGGUGGCCACCAGUAAUGUGCGUCAUUGUGCAGAGAGAUGGCAGCUUGGUCUCCUACUUGCCCACUUAACGGGGGAGUUGCCAAAAUGGUGCCCAGCAGUCAUUGUGAAACCUUCUGUUGGGGUUCAGCAUCUCUCAAUUUGAGCGAAUUAUUGUAUUUGAGCUACACCUUGGGUGCCCACUUCAUCAGAUGGUCUAGUACAGAGCCCAGCAGUGCAGGUAUCGGUGGCAGCAAAAGCAGGUGAGUCCAGGGAGGUGCAUCGAUUUUGCGGUCAAUAAAAGAAAAAGUUUC
Molecule: non-coding RNA, 436 nt
Organism: Dermacentor andersoni
Lineage: Eukaryota; Metazoa; Arthropoda; Arachnida; Ixodida; Ixodidae
Source: RefSeq, a predicted model, not a curated record